RNAcentral lists this transfer RNA (69 nucleotides) under Tropidophorus hangnam. Its description in RNAcentral is "tRNA-Trp". It matches the Rfam family "tRNA". Rfam says of the family: Transfer RNA (tRNA) molecules are approximately 80 nucleotides in length. Their secondary structure includes four short double-helical elements and three loops (D, anti-codon, and T loops). Further hydrogen bonds mediate the characteristic L-shaped molecular structure. tRNAs have two regions of fundamental functional importance: the anti-codon, which is responsible for specific mRNA codon recognition, and the 3' end, to which the tRNAs corresponding amino acid is attached (by aminoacyl-tRNA synthetases). tRNAs cope with the degeneracy of the genetic code in two manners: having more than one tRNA (with a specific anti-codon) for a particular amino acid; and 'wobble' base-pairing, i.e. permitting non-standard base-pairing at the 3rd anti-codon position. The record is from RNAcentral. Lineage: Eukaryota; Metazoa; Chordata; Lepidosauria; Squamata; Scincidae.
AGGAACUUAGGUUAAACAAACCAGUAGCCUUCAAAGCCACAAACGAGAGUUAAAACCUCUUAGAUCCUG